RNAcentral lists this unclassified non-coding RNA (249 nucleotides) under Preussia flanaganii. RNAcentral's name for it is "sequence contains 5.8S rRNA gene". The stretch from base 1 to 53 matches the Rfam family "5.8S ribosomal RNA", at positions 102 to 154 of the family's 154-position model. Lineage: Eukaryota; Fungi; Ascomycota; Dothideomycetes; Pleosporales; Sporormiaceae. The record is from RNAcentral.
GAACGCACAUUGCGCCCGCUAGUAUUCUGGCGGGCAUGCCUGUUCGAGCGUCAUUCAAACCUUCAAGCUCUGCUUGGUGUUGGGCGUCUGUCCUGCCUCACGGCGCGGACUCGCCUCAAAUCUAUUGGCGGCCGGCACGUUGGCUUCGAGCGCAGCAGAAACGCGAACUCGGGCCCGACGGAUCGGCUCCCAGAAGCUACCCCCAUGAAUUUGACCUCGGAUCAGGUAGGGAUACCCGCUGAACUUAAG